This 429-nucleotide ribosomal RNA is filed under the name Gemmatimonadota bacterium. RNAcentral's name for it is "Gemmatimonadetes bacterium partial 16S ribosomal RNA". It matches the Rfam family "Bacterial small subunit ribosomal RNA", at positions 355 to 776 of the family's 1533-position model. Lineage: Bacteria; Pseudomonadati; Gemmatimonadota. The record is from RNAcentral.
UAGGGAAUCUUCGGCAAUGGACGAAAGUCUGACCGAGCAACGCCGCGUGAGUGAAGAAGGUUUUCGGAUCGUAAAACUCUGUUGUUAGAGAAGAACAAGGACGUUAGUAACUGAACGUCCCCUGACGGUAUCUAACCAGAAAGCCACGGCUAACUACGUGCCAGCAGCCGCGGUAAUACGUAGGUGGCAAGUGUUGUCCGGAUUUAUUGGGCGUAAAGCGAGCGCAGGCGGUUUCUUAAGUCUGAUGUGAAAGCCCCCGGCUCAACCGGAGAGGGUCAUUGGAAACUGGGAGACUUGGGUGCAGAAGAGGAGAGUGUAAUUCCAUGUGUAGCGGUGAAAUGCGUAGAUAUAUGGAGGAACACCGGUGGCGAAGGCGGCUCUCUGGUCUGUAACUGACGCUGAGGCUCGAAAGCGUGGGGAGCAAACAGG